Long non-coding RNA from Lagenorhynchus albirostris (white-beaked dolphin), 609 nucleotides. RefSeq lists it as uncharacterized. NCBI's taxonomy places the organism in Eukaryota, Metazoa, Chordata, Mammalia, Artiodactyla, Delphinidae. The record is from RefSeq and is a predicted model, not a curated record. The transcript is spliced from 3 exons.
UUGUGGAUUGAACACCGCAGGUCCGUGUUGACAGUUCCACAGUGGGUGACAAGGUCUCACUGUUUUGCCCAGAUGGUUAGACCAGCACUGUUUUCAGACCAGAGACACGGGCCCGAGCCCGCUUCUCCAGAUCCGCCCGCGGGGAUGCCUACCUGCUUCUCCUCUCAGCGCCUUCUCUAGCCUCACGCCCUGGAUCUCGGAAGCCCUCUGCCACUCCUCCACCUCUUCCAGCUGCCUCUGGAUGGCCUGCAAUGCCAGGAUCAUACGUCACGCAGGUACUUUCAACGUGCAGAGUCAUGCAAGGGCGCCAAUUCUGCCACCUACUUUCCAAGAGGAAGAAGCCCUUUCCCUCGUGAUGCCACCUCCUCAAUUAAGUGGGUAAGGAAAUCAAAGCUCAGAGAAGUUAAAGAACUUGCCCAAGAUGACACAAUCAGGAACUGGUAGAGCCAGGAGCUAAGCCCAGAUCCUUACUGCUCCAAAAAAUAAACACUGCCAGAGCAGUGAACUGCUUCUGUCCGCCCAGGAAGCAUAUGAUGUCCAGCCAUUCAGCUCUUCCAGCCCCAGAGGAUAAAGAAAACAAUGGUGGGAUUUGGUCAUGGGAUGCGUGUC